UCUCCGUUGGUGAACCAGCGGAGGGAUCAUUAUAGAGUUUUCUAAACUCCCAACCCAUGUGAACUUACCAUUGUUGCCUCGGCAGAAGCCACCCGGUACCUUACCUUGGUGCGGCCUACCCUGUAGCGCCUUACCCUGGAACGGGCUACCCAGUAGCGGCUGCCGGCGGACUACCAAACUCUUGUUAUUUUAUUAUCAUCUGAGCGUCUUAUUUUAAUAAGUCAAAACUUUCAACAACGGAUCUCUUGGUUCUGGCAUCGAUGAAGAACGCAGC
Molecule: unclassified non-coding RNA, 274 nt
Filed under: uncultured fungus
Lineage: Eukaryota; Fungi
Description: sequence contains ITS1, 5.8S rRNA gene
Rfam family: 5.8S ribosomal RNA (bases 226-274)
Source: RNAcentral